This 765-nucleotide ribosomal RNA is filed under the name Bacillus sp. CH44. Its description in RNAcentral is "bacterial SSU rRNA". It matches the Rfam family "Bacterial small subunit ribosomal RNA", at positions 56 to 803 of the family's 1533-position model. Lineage: Bacteria; Bacillati; Bacillota; Bacilli; Caryophanales; Bacillaceae. The record is from RNAcentral.
UGCAAGUCGAGCGGACCUUUUAAAGCUUGCUUUUGAAAGGUCAGCGGCGGACGGGUGAGUAACACGUGGGCAACCUGCCUGUAAGACUGGGAUAACUUCGGGAAACCGGAGCUAAUACCGGAUAAUAUAAGGAACCUCCUGGUUCUUUAUUGAAAGAUGGUUUCGGCUAUCACUUACAGAUGGGCCCGCGGCGCAUUAGCUAGUUGGUGAGGUAACGGCUCACCAAGGCGACGAUGCGUAGCCGACCUGAGAGGGUGAUCGGCCACACUGGGACUGAGACACGGCCCAGACUCCUACGGGAGGCAGCAGUAGGGAAUCUUCCACAAUGGACGAAAGUCUGAUGGAGCAACGCCGCGUGAGCGAUGAAGGCCUUCGGGUCGUAAAGCUCUGUUGUUAGGGAAGAACAAGUGCGAGAGUAACUGCUCGCACCUUGACGGUACCUAACCAGAAAGCCACGGCUAACUACGUGCCAGCAGCCGCGGUAAUACGUAGGUGGCAAGCGUUGUCCGGAAUUAUUGGGCGUAAAGCGCGCGCAGGUGGUCCUUUAAGUCUGAUGUGAAAGCCCACGGCUCAACCGUGGAGGGUCAUUGGAAACUGGGGGACUUGAGUGCAGAAGAGGAAAGUGGAAUUCCAAGUGUAGCGGUGAAAUGCGUAGAGAUUUGGAGGAACACCAGUGGCGAAGGCGACUUUCUGGUCUGUAACUGACACUGAGGCGCGAAAGCGUGGGGAGCAAACAGGAUUAGAUACCCUGGUAGUCCACGCCGU